This is a long non-coding RNA of Scleropages formosus (Asian bonytongue), 248 nucleotides long. RefSeq lists it as uncharacterized. The record is from RefSeq and is a predicted model, not a curated record. NCBI's taxonomy places the organism in Eukaryota, Metazoa, Chordata, Actinopteri, Osteoglossiformes, Osteoglossidae. The transcript is spliced from 3 exons.
GGGCAUCCUUCUCCACAUCCCAGCCAUGACGGGCUGCAUGCAUCCAGGGGAUCUGGAAGAUCUUCUUCUCCUACAGGUCAUGCAGUGCUUAGAACUGCCACCUUGUACUCAAAAUACUGGGUUUUGAGUCCAUUCUUCUGCUGCAGGACCCCUGACCAAGCCACGAAGAUACUCUAACAAUAACAGGAUUCUACGAAAAAACUGACCUCACCCAAAAAAUGUCUGAAAAUACAUUUGACUAAAGAUGC